RNAcentral lists this small RNA (127 nucleotides) under Marmota monax (woodchuck). The record is from RNAcentral. Lineage: Eukaryota; Metazoa; Chordata; Mammalia; Rodentia; Sciuridae.
GCUGGGCGUGGGGGCUCACGCCUGUAAUCCCAGCGGCUUUGGAGGCUGAAGCAGGAGGAUUGCAAGUUCAAAGCCAGGCUUAGCAACUUAGCAAGGCCCUAAGCAACCCAGUGAGACCCUGUCUCUC